UAAUACAGAGGGUGCAAGCGUUAAUCGGAAUUACUGGGCGUAAAGGGCGCGUAGGUUGUUAUUUAAGUGAGAUGUGAAAGCCCCGGGCUUAACCUGGGAACUGCAUUUUAUACUGAAUAACUGGAGUGCAAUAGAGGGUAGUGGAAUUUCCGGUGUAGCGGUGAAAUGCGUAGAUAUCGGAAGGAACACCAGUGGCGAAGGCGGCUACCUGGAUUGACACUGACACUGAGGCGCGAAAGCGUGGGGAGCAAACAGGAUUAGAUACCCUGGUAGUCCACGCUGUAAACGAUGAAAACUAGAUGUUGUUGGGCUUAGACCCAUCAGUAUCGAAGCUAACGCGAUAAGUUUUCCGCCUGGGGAGUACGGUCGCAAGAUUA
This 377-nucleotide ribosomal RNA is filed under the name uncultured bacterium. RNAcentral describes it as "bacterial SSU rRNA". It matches the Rfam family "Bacterial small subunit ribosomal RNA", at positions 521 to 896 of the family's 1533-position model. The record is from RNAcentral.